GGUAAGGAGGCUGGGGGGGGGUUAAAUAAAAAAAAUAAAAAAAACACUAGUGUGUGUGUUGAAGUCUGUUAGUGUGUGUAUGUAUGUUAGUGUUAGUGUGUGUAUGUAUGUGUGUGGAUGUCUGUUAGUGUGUGUAUGUUAGUGUGUCUGUUAGUGUGUGUAUGUUAGUGUUUGUGUCUGUUAGUGUGUAUGUUAGUGUGUGUUAGUGUGUGUAUGUUAGUGUGUGUGUGUGUUAGUGU
Molecule: non-coding RNA, 239 nt
Organism: Pelobates cultripes (western spadefoot toad)
Lineage: Eukaryota; Metazoa; Chordata; Amphibia; Anura; Pelobatidae
Source: the annotation of a GenBank genome assembly